This 128-nucleotide ribosomal RNA is filed under the name uncultured Actinomycetes bacterium. RNAcentral's name for it is "uncultured actinobacterium partial 16S ribosomal RNA". It matches the Rfam family "Bacterial small subunit ribosomal RNA", at positions 338 to 478 of the family's 1533-position model. Lineage: Bacteria; Bacillati; Actinomycetota; Actinomycetes. The record is from RNAcentral.
CCUACGGGAGGCAGCAGUAGGGAAUAUUGGGCAAUGGGCGCAAGCCUGACCCAGCGACGCCGCGUGAGGGAUGAAGGUCUUCGGAUUGUAAACCUCUUUCAGUAGGGAAGAAGCGAAAGUGACGGUAC